UUGAAAACCAGGGAUUAGAUACCCUGUUACACUUUAUUUAAAUUAUUAAAUACCUGGGUAGUAAUCAGUUAAUAUCUUUAAACUCAAAGGAUUUGGCGGUAAUUUAGUCUAUUUAGAGGAACCUGUCCUAUAAUCGAUAUUCCACGAAAAAUCUUACUUUAUUUUGUAGACACAGUUUGUAUACCGUCAUUAUUAGAUAACUUUAAAAAAAUAGUUAGUUAUUAUAAUAGUAUUGCUAAUAUAUUAGAUCAAGGUGCAGCUUAUAGUAAAGGAGAGAUGGGUUACAAUAAUAUGAAUUUAUAAUGGAGUAAUAAAGUAAUUAUUUAUUAUUAAAGCGGAUUAAAAGUAAAAAAAUUUUAACAAGAUUUUUUGAGUGUAGCUCUAUAUUAUGUACAUACCG
Molecule: ribosomal RNA, 400 nt
Filed under: Funchalia villosa
Lineage: Eukaryota; Metazoa; Arthropoda; Malacostraca; Decapoda; Penaeidae
Description: partial 12S ribosomal RNA
Source: RNAcentral